Non-coding RNA from Phrynosoma platyrhinos (Desert horned lizard), 72 nucleotides. NCBI's taxonomy places the organism in Eukaryota, Metazoa, Chordata, Lepidosauria, Squamata, Phrynosomatidae. The record is from the annotation of a GenBank genome assembly.
ACCAGUGUGGUGUAGUGGUUUAAGUACUGGACUUAGAAUCUGGAGAACAGGGUUCAAAUCCCCACUCUGCCA